CGAACUCUGGUAUUGAUUGGUGCUUGCAUCAUGAUUUACAUUUGAGUGAGUGGCGAACUGGUGAGUAACACGUGGGAAACCUGCCCAGAAGCGGGGGAUAACACCUGGAAACAGAUGCUAAUACCGCAUAACAACUUGGACCGCAUGGUCCGAGUUUGAAAGAUGGCUUCGGCUAUCACUUUUGGAUGGUCCCGCGGCGUAUUAGCUAGAUGGUGGGGUAACGGCUCACCAUGGCAAUGAUACGUAGCCGACCUGAGAGGGUAAUCGGCCACAUUGGGACUGAGACACGGCCCAAACUCCUACGGGAGGCAGCAGUAGGGAAUCUUCCACAAUGGACGAAAGUCUGAUGGAGCAACGCCGCGUGAGUGAAGAAGGGUUUCGGCUCGUAAAACUCUGUUGUUAAAGAAGAACAUAUCUGAGAGUAACUGUUCAGGUAUUGACGGUAUUUAACCAGAAAGCCACGGCUAACUACGUGCCAGCAGCCGCGGUAAUACGUAGGUGGCAAGCGUUGUCCGGAUUUAUUGGGCGUAAAGCGAGCGCAGGCGGUUUUUUAAGUCUGAUGUGAAAGCCUUCGGCUCAACCGAAGAAGUGCAUCGGAAACUGGGAAACUUGAGUGCAGAAGAGGACAGUGGAACUCCAUGUGUAGCGGUGAAAUGCGUAGAUAUAUGGAAGAACACCAGUGGCGAAAGCGGCUGUCUGGUCUGUAACUGACGCUGAGGCUCGAAAGUAUGGGUAGCAAACAGGAUUAGAUACCCUGGUAGUCCAUACCGUAAACGAUGAAUGCUAAGUGUUGGAGGGUUUCCGCCCUUCAGUGCUGCAGCUAACGCAUUAAGCAUUCCGCCUGGGGAGUACGGCCGCAAGGCUGAAACUCAAAGGAAUUGACGGGGGCCCGCACAAGCGGUGGAGCAUGUGGUUUAAUUCGAAGCUACGCGAAGAACCUUACCAGGUCUUGACAUACUAUGCAAAUCUAAGAGAUUAGACGUUCCCUUCGGGGACAUGGAUACAGGUGGUGCAUGGUUGUCGUCAGCUCGUGUCGUGAGAUGUUGGGUUAAGUCCCGCAACGAGCGCAACCCUUAUUAUCAGUUGCCAGCAUUAAGUUGGGCACUCUGGUGAGACUGCCGGUGACAAACCGGAGGAAGGUGGGGAUGACGUCAAAUCAUCAUGCCCCUUAUGACCUGGGCUACACACGUGCUACAAUGGAUGGUACAACGAGUUGCGAACUCGCGAGAGUAAGCUAAUCUCUUAAAGCCAUUCUCAGUUCGGAUUGUAGGCUGCAACUCGCCUACAUGAAGUCGGAAUCGCUAGUAAUCGCGGAUCAGCAUGCCGCGGUGAAUACGUUCCCGGGCCUUGUACACACCGCCCGUCACACCAUGAGAGUUUGUAACACCCAAAGUCGGUGGGGUAACCUUUUAGGAACCAGCCGC
RNAcentral lists this ribosomal RNA (1424 nucleotides) under Lactiplantibacillus pentosus. RNAcentral describes it as "bacterial SSU rRNA". It matches the Rfam family "Bacterial small subunit ribosomal RNA". The record is from RNAcentral. Lineage: Bacteria; Bacillati; Bacillota; Bacilli; Lactobacillales; Lactobacillaceae.